This 253-nucleotide ribosomal RNA is filed under the name uncultured bacterium. RNAcentral's name for it is "partial 16S ribosomal RNA". It matches the Rfam family "Bacterial small subunit ribosomal RNA", at positions 524 to 776 of the family's 1533-position model. The record is from RNAcentral.
UACGAAGGGGGCUAGCGUUGCUCGGAAUCACUGGGCGUAAAGGGUGUGUAGGCGGUUGUUUAAGUUUGGUGUGAAAUCCCUCGGCUUAACCGAGGAACUGCCCUCCAAACUGCUUGGCUUGAGUCCGGGAGAGGUGAGUGGAAUUCCCAGUGUAGCGGUGAAAUGCGUAGAUAUUGGGAGGAACACCAGUGGCGAAGGCGGCUCACUGGACCGGAACUGACGCUGAGGCGCGAAAGCGUGGGGAGCAAACGGG